RNAcentral lists this ribosomal RNA (305 nucleotides) under uncultured bacterium. Its description in RNAcentral is "bacterial SSU rRNA". It matches the Rfam family "Bacterial small subunit ribosomal RNA", at positions 334 to 631 of the family's 1533-position model. The record is from RNAcentral.
UUUGCCUACGGGACGCAGCAGUAGGGAAUCUUCGGCAAUGGGGGCAACCCUGACCGAGCAACGCCGCGUGAGUGAAGAAGGUUUUCAGAUCGUAAAGCUCUGUUGUAAGUCAAGAACGGGUGUGAGAGUGGAAAGUUCACACUGUGACGGUAGCUUACCAGAAAGGGACGGCUAACUACGUGCCAGCAGCCGCGGUAAUACGUAGGUCCCGAGCGUUGUCCGGAUUUAUUGGGCGUAAAGAGAGCGCAGGCGGUUUGGUAAGUCUGAAGUUAAAGGCUGUGGCUCCACCAUAGUUCGCUUUGGAA